RNAcentral lists this ribosomal RNA (1347 nucleotides) under uncultured bacterium. RNAcentral describes it as "bacterial SSU rRNA". It matches the Rfam family "Bacterial small subunit ribosomal RNA", at positions 28 to 1381 of the family's 1533-position model. The record is from RNAcentral.
GACGAACGCUGGCGGCGCUGCUUAACACAUGCAAGUCGAACGGAAAGGCCCUGCUUUUGUGGGGUGCUCGAGUGGAGAACGGGUGAGUAACACGUGAGUAACCUGCCCUUGACUUUGGGAUAACUUCAGGAAACUGGGGCUAAUACCGGAUAGGAGCUCCUGCUGCAUGGUGGGGGUUGGAAAGUUUCAGCGGUUGGGGAUGGACUCGCGGCUUAUCAUCUUGUUGGUGGGGUAGUGGCUUACCAAGGCUUUGACGGGUAGCCGGCCUGAAAGGGUGACCGGCCACAUUGGGACUGACAUACGGCCCAGACUCCUACGGGAGGCAGCACUGGGGAAUAUUGCACAAUGGGCGGAAGCCUGAUGCAACAACGCCGCGUGCGGGAUGACGGCCUUCGGGUUGUAAACCGCUUUCGCCUGUGACGAAGCGUGAGUGACGGUAAUGGGUAAAGAAGCACCGGCUAACUACGUGCCAGCAGCCGCGGUGAUACGUAGGGUGCGAGCGUUGUCCGGAUUUAUUGGGCGUAAAGGGCUCGUAGGUGGUUGAUCGCGUCGGAAGUGUAAUCUUGGGGCUUAACCCUGAGCGUGCUUUCGAUACGGGUUGACUUGAGGAAGGUAGGGGAGAAUGGAAUUCCUGGUGGAGCGGUGGAAUGCGCAGAUAUCAGGAGGAACACCAGUGGCGAAGGCGGUUCUCUGGGCCUUUCCUGACGCUGAGGAGCGAAAGCGUGGGGAGCGAACAGGCUUAGAUACCCUGGUAGUCCACGCUGUAAACGGUGGGUACUAGGUGUGGGGUCCAUUCCACGGGUUCCGUGCCGUAGCUAACGCUUUAAGUACCCCGCCUGGGGAGUACGGCCGCAAGGCUAAAACUCAAAGGAAUUGACGGGGCCCCGCACAAGCGGCGGAGCAUGCGGAUUAAUUCGAUGCAACGCGUAGAACCUUACCUGGGUUUGACAUGGAUCGGGAGCGCUCAGAGAUGGGUGUGCCUCUUUCGGGGUCGGUUCACAGGUGGUGCAUGGCUGUCGUCAGCUCGUGUCGUGAGAUGUUGGGUUAAGUCCCGCAACGAGCGCAACCCUUGUUCACUGUUGCCAGCACGUUAUGGUGGGGACUCAGUGGAGACCGCCGGGGUCAACUCGGAGGAAGGUGGGGAUGACGUCAAGUCAUCAUGCCCCUUAUGUCCAGGGCUUCACGCAUGCUACAAUGGCUGGUACAGAGAGUGGCGAGCCUGUGAGGGUGAGCGAAUCUCGGAAAGCCGGUCUCAGUUCGGAUCGGGGUCUGCAACUCGACCUCACGAAGUCGGAGUCGCUAGUAAUCGCAGAUCAGCAACGAUGCGGUGAAUACGUUCCCGGGGCU